CAGACCUCUAAUCGGAAAACACUAACCCGCUGAGUU
This 36-nucleotide ribosomal RNA is filed under the name Serpoleskea confervoides. RNAcentral's name for it is "Platydictya confervoides partial 25S ribosomal RNA". The record is from RNAcentral. Lineage: Eukaryota; Viridiplantae; Streptophyta; Bryopsida; Hypnales; Leskeaceae.